GGGUGGCGCGCAACGGGGCUUUCUGCGGGAGCCCAGGUGCAGAAGCACCCCCCCCCCCGCCCCGGACAGUCUGUUGGGGUUCGAGACCCUCCUUCCGGGGGACCUGAUCCAAGUGAAAGCCGCUCGGUCAUUCGAAAGCUCCAGAGCGCUCCAUCCGCAAACUGGGCAGGUGCAAGGGUGCCUCGGGACGACCUGGUACGUGGACCGCCAGCCUGGGCCGCCCCAGGCGCCCCCACCCCAGCCCGGGAAAUCGCAUCCCCGCCCUCGCCCCCUCCGGGAGAGCACAGUUCGGGGUCUCACAUCAGUCCUUACUCUCCGGACCCCAUCUCCCCACCAGGGCAGAGCAUCACCGGCUACGUGUCCCCCCAUCCCCACCCCGCAUCCUGGUCGCCACGAAAGGUCUCCCUGUUCCCCUCUCCUAGAUUUCAAGGGAAGUGCAGAGAAGGAAGCCUAAAUAAAAACAGGAAACCCGAUUUUAAAAAAGAAGAAGCCUCAUUCUGGCUGAAUUACGGGAAAAACAACAGGUCCUCCUGCCGCCUGUCUGCACCCCCCGCCCUCCCCCCCUCCCCCAAAUCCGCACCCCGUCUGCGGCUGGAGGGGCAUCAUCCCAGGUGUGUCUGUAAAGCUGCAUCUCGCCCGUCUUCAAAACAAGCGUUCUUUUUAUACAAAGGAAAACAACUAAAUAAAGGUCCUAAAGCCCACGCCUUCACAUUCACACACCAAAGAAUUUCCACGGUGGCCAGAGGAAGGCUGGAGGGCGGGAGACGGAGGCGGAGGCUGCAGCUCUUGGCGCCCAGGGAGUCCCCCCAUCCCAUCCCAUCCCACCCCGCCCCGCCGCCGGCCGAGAGCGCAGUAGCUGGGCGCCAGGGAGGGUACAUGAGGCCUGGGAGACGAGACUGGAGCGCAGAGUUCCACGGGCUCGGCCCUGGGGGGAAAGCUGUAGUCUUCUCGCUUGGGGGAGUCAAGACCACGGAGGGGUGGGGGGGAGUCGCCAGAUUACAAAAAUGGCUUAGAAAUCCUUCUAGGGCGCGUGGGGGAAGAGUCAAGUCAAUUGCUUACACAAACAAUGACUUAAAGGACCCUCCCCCCUCCGGUCUGGGAACUAAAGCCCCUGUUUGGUCCCCUUGGAGAGAUGCGGCAACUGAGGCCUGGAGAGGGGCUGUUUCUACCCAAGCGAUCCGCCGGCCUCCCAGCGCCAGCGCGGGGCCCAGCUCUGGCUGCAGCAAAGGAGGGAGCAGAGCCCUCGGUUUCCAGCCAAGAAAGGGCAAGCGUAGGUUACUGAAGGCUUCCCGUUUUCUGAGGUUUCCAAACACCUGUCCGAGCCCUGCUUUUACCAGUCGGCAAUUUAAACAGUUUUGCUCCCUGCUUUCCAGAGGUGGAUGUAAGAAGCCGACGCGUGGGGCCUGCUGUGGAUUUGGGGUCUCCUUCUCUCUCUGCCCCCUCCCCUGCUCGUGCUCUCUCUCUCUCUCUCAAAAAUGA
RNAcentral lists this long non-coding RNA (1479 nucleotides) under Felis catus (domestic cat). Its description in RNAcentral is "lncRNA (ENSFCAG00000047872.1)". Lineage: Eukaryota; Metazoa; Chordata; Mammalia; Carnivora; Felidae. The record is from RNAcentral.